GGCACUAUGGCCGAGUGGUUAAGGCGAAAGAUUAGAAAUCUUUUGGGAUUUCCCGCGCAGGUUCGAGUCCUGCUGGUGUCG
Ascoidea rubescens DSM 1968 is the source of this 81-nucleotide transfer RNA. It matches the Rfam family "tRNA". From Rfam's summary of the family: Transfer RNA (tRNA) molecules are approximately 80 nucleotides in length. Their secondary structure includes four short double-helical elements and three loops (D, anti-codon, and T loops). The record is from Rfam. NCBI's taxonomy places the organism in Eukaryota, Fungi, Ascomycota, Saccharomycetes, Ascoideales, Ascoideaceae.